Ascodesmis nigricans is the source of this 96-nucleotide non-coding RNA. NCBI's taxonomy places the organism in Eukaryota, Fungi, Ascomycota, Pezizomycetes, Pezizales, Ascodesmidaceae. The record is from the annotation of a GenBank genome assembly.
GUCAAGGUGGUGGAGUGGUUAACACGUUCGCCUGCUAUAUCCUUAGCAGCCCAGCGGAUGCCUUCGGGCGCGCAGGUUCGAAUCCUGUCCUUGACG